GACGAACGCUGGCGGCGUGCCUAAUACAUGCAAGUAGAACGCAGUUGCGAACGGGUGAGUAACGCGUAGGUAACUGCCUCAUAGCGGGGGAUAACUAUUGGAAACGAUAGCUAAUACCGCCUACUUGGAGAUGGACCUGCUUUGUAUUAGCUAGUUGGUGAGGUAAAGGCUCACCAAGGCGACGAUACAUAGCCGACCGGAGAGGAUGAUCAGCCACACUGGGACUGAGACACGGCCCAGACUCCUACGGGAGGCAGCAGUAGGGAAUCUUCCGCAAUGGACGGAAGUCUGACCGAGCAACGCCGCGUGAGUGAAGAAGGUUUCGGAGCGUAAAACUCUGUUGUUAGAGAAGCGGUAACUAAACAGAAAGGGACGGCUAACUACGUGCCAGCAGCCGCGGUAAUAC
This 406-nucleotide ribosomal RNA is filed under the name uncultured bacterium. RNAcentral describes it as "partial 16S ribosomal RNA". It matches the Rfam family "Bacterial small subunit ribosomal RNA", at positions 28 to 526 of the family's 1533-position model. The record is from RNAcentral.